AACGCGCUUCUUAUGAUGAUUAAAAUCCUUUUUUCAGACGUUAGACUUCUGAUUUUUAAAGGAAGAAACAAGGUAUAGAUAUCUGAAGAGUGUGUU
Small nucleolar RNA from Kluyveromyces lactis, 96 nucleotides. Lineage: Eukaryota; Fungi; Ascomycota; Saccharomycetes; Saccharomycetales; Saccharomycetaceae. The record is from RefSeq and is a predicted model, not a curated record.